Molecule: small nuclear RNA, 73 nt
Organism: Erinaceus europaeus (western European hedgehog)
Lineage: Eukaryota; Metazoa; Chordata; Mammalia; Eulipotyphla; Erinaceidae
Source: Ensembl
CAGAAUGAUACAGAGAUUAGCAUGACCCCUGCACAAGGAUGACAUGCAAAUUCAUGAAGUAUUCCAUAUUUUA